Molecule: ribosomal RNA, 253 nt
Filed under: uncultured bacterium
Lineage: Bacteria
Description: partial 16S ribosomal RNA
Rfam family: Bacterial small subunit ribosomal RNA
Source: RNAcentral
UACAGAGGUCUCAAGCGUUGUUCGGAUUCAUUGGGCGUAAAGGGUGCGUAGGCGGCGCGGUAAGUCGGGUGUGAAAUCUCGGAGCUUAACUCCGAAACUGCAUUCGAUACUGCCGUGCUUGAGGACUGGAGAGAAGACUGGAAUUUACGGUGUAGCGGUGAAAUGCGUAGAUAUUGGGAGGAACACCAGUGGCGAAGGCGGCUCACUGGACCGGUACUGACGCUGAUGCGCGAAAGCGUGGGGAGCAAACGGG